This 233-nucleotide ribosomal RNA is filed under the name uncultured bacterium. RNAcentral's name for it is "partial 16S ribosomal RNA". It matches the Rfam family "Bacterial small subunit ribosomal RNA", at positions 524 to 757 of the family's 1533-position model. The record is from RNAcentral.
UACGAAGGGGGCUAGCGUUGCUCGGAAUCACUGGGCGUAAAGCGCACGUAGGCGGACUCUUAAGUCGGUGGUGAAAUCCUGGAGCUCAACUCCAGAACUGCCUUCGAUACUGAGAGUCUUGAGUCCGGGAGAGGUGAGUGGAACUGCGAGUGUAGAGGUGAAAUCGUAGAUAUUCGCAAGAACACCAGUGGCGAAGGCGGCUCACUGGCCCGGUACUGACGCUGAGGUGCGAA